Molecule: long non-coding RNA, 1940 nt
Organism: Mus spicilegus (steppe mouse)
Lineage: Eukaryota; Metazoa; Chordata; Mammalia; Rodentia; Muridae
Source: Ensembl
CUCAAGUAUAUCUUGGCACUUGGAACCCACACUACCAGUGGUGGUUCUGUGGACGCGGCACGGGUCGCUUCUCUUAUGUGACUCUGGGUCUAUACUACACUCUUUUUCCAUAGUAUUUAUCCAGGUUUGUGAGUCCAGACUGCUUUGUUUGUUUGUUUUGAUUUUUUUACAUACACAAGUAUACACUAUACUUAGUAGUGAUGUAGUUAGAAAAUGGUUUGCUUAGAAAAUUUCACUGAAGGCAAUUUCCAGUUUUCCCUUGCCAAUCUCUGACGUGAGUCACAGAGGCCGAGGUCCUUCUCUCUGGGACGGUCAGGGGCUGGUUCUGCCUCUUCAGCAGGCCACAGACCUUCAAAGGCUGCCCCGCCCCUUCCCUGUUCCCAGGAUCGUUUCCAAGGAUCUGAUCCGUCACAAGGAAAGAGGGCAAGCCACAAAAGAGGAGCCGAGAGGAAUCUGGACAGGCUACGCAGGGUUUCCUCCCACAUCUCGGAUCCCUACCGGCACUGGGAGUAAAACCCACAGUCGUGCGUGCCUCUGCUAGGAAUACGGUGUACGGAUGAGCUACACUGCAAGCCCUAUCUGUUCAAGCAUGAAGAAUAAACAGAGUGUGACGUCACUGGAUGGAACACACACUCCGCCUCCGAAAUUGUCUCCUGGUCCACAGCUUUCUCCGGCAUCAAGAUUGACUUUCUAAGCCAGCUCCUGCUGAAAUGUGCUUGUUUUAGACCCCGUGUUGCUUGUUUCUGUAGCAAUGUUGUGACCUCAUGCCCAGGAAUGAAAAUGCAGAACAGCAGGUAUGAUCACCAUGGUAACCUGAAGAGCUCUGGAAUAUUGAAAAUGGAACCAAACUGGGUACAUUUAUCAGUCUAUUUCCUCCAGGCGCUUAUUCUCUUCCACAGGUCUUCCACAUAUCAAGUGUUGACCUUGUCAUGAGACCAUGAAUUCAGCCCCUAGGAGCAUGAAAAAUAGAAACAAACACAGCACAUGCACACUCGCGAGGUUUUGUUUUGUUUUGUUUUGUUUUUGUUUGUUUGUUUCACUCUCUUCUGUUUGCUUUUGGAAAUAAUCAUGGGCUUUUUUAUCUCUUUAUUUUUAAGCAUAACUUUAAAAAAAGAAACAUGACCCUACGUUGGAUUUAGGGAAUGAUAAAUAGUACAGAUAUCUUUUUAUGGACACACACUUUUACAUUAUGUUUAAGAUCAGAAAUGUAUCAUCUGACCUACCUUGUUUACCGUGACCCUUUUGAAGUAGGAAUGCUGUUGGCUUUUUAGCACUCUGUGGUAAGGACUUCCCUACCUGCAAACCAACAAUCUCCUGUCUACCCAGACAAGAUCAAACACAAGGAAUUUACAGUUCUUUGGUUUUUUUUUUUCAAAAUUCAGUCACAUGAAUUUCAAUGUCUUUAGAGAAUAGGAAAUGUAGGUGUUUGGCAUCAAAGCUUCUGUUCGCAGACACCAGGCUGUCUCGCCUCAGUGCAUUGUUUUCUGUGCUUCCUUGUCUUCCUGCCUCUAGGAAUUAUAGCUAAGGACCUGGACCUUAGCUGGAUCUAACCUUCAGUCCUGUGCGUUUCUCAGUAACUACAAAGUCUAGCAGAAGGUCACUCUGCUUCUUUGAAGGGCCUGAUUCUGCUUCUUUAGUGGCAUUGACACAAAUCUGUGGGGCGUUGGCCAUCAUCCUACGAACAGUAAACCGUUGAACGCCGACUGCCUUAAGUAAUGCAUAGCUGGAGAGGCAGCAUGCUUCAUCUGCUGCCUAGCGGCUAAAACCGGCAGUAGCUGGAGGCCCAGGAGCAGGUGAGCAUUCUUGCAUUGAACCUCUGGGAAACUCAGACCAAAGGCUGAAAACUAUACAGUAUUGGGAAAGGACUGGUCCCAAGACUUCUACAGAGAGUAAAAUCAGCAUAUGUCCAAGUGUCUUAAUAAAAUGGCUUGUUGUUUGAC